UGUUUGAUGUUCUAACGUGGACCCGUAAUCCGGGUUGCGGACAGUGUCUGGUGGGUAGUUUGACUGGGGCGGUCUCCUCCUAAAGAGUAACGGAGGAGCACGAAGGUUGGCUAAUCCUGGUCGGACAUCAGGAGGUUAGUGCAAUGGCAUAAGCCAGCUUGACUGCGAGCGUGACGGCGCGAGCAGGUGCGAAAGCAGGUCAUAGUGAUCCGGUGGUUCUGAAUGGAAGGGCCAUCGCUCAACGGAUAAAAGGUACUCCGGGGAUAACAGGCUGAUACCGCCCAAGAGUUCAUAUCGACGGCGGUGUUUGGCACCUCGAUGUCGGCUCAUCACAUCCUGGGGCUGAAGUAGGUCCCAAGGGUAUGGCUGUUCGCCAUUUAAAGUGGUACGCGAGCUGGGUUUAGAACGUCGUGAGACAGUUCGGUCCCUAUCUGCCGUGGGCGCUGGAGAACUGAGGGGGGCUGCUCCUAGUACGAGAGGACCGGAGUGGACGCAUCACUGGUGUUCGGGUUGUCAUGCCAAUGGCACUGCCCGGUAGCUAAAUGCGGAAGAGAUAAGUGCUGAAAGCAUCUAAGCACGAAACUUGCCCCGAGAUGAGUUCUCCCUGAGACUUAGAGUCUCCUGAAGGAACGUUGAAGACGACGACGUUGAUAGGCCGGGUGUGUAAGCGCAGCGAUGCGUUGAGCUAACCGGUACUAAUGAACCGUGAGGCUUAACCUUACAACGCCGAAG
RNAcentral lists this ribosomal RNA (732 nucleotides) under Salmonella enterica. RNAcentral's name for it is "partial 23S ribosomal RNA". It matches the Rfam family "Bacterial large subunit ribosomal RNA", at positions 2211 to 2925 of the family's 2925-position model. The record is from RNAcentral. Lineage: Bacteria; Pseudomonadati; Pseudomonadota; Gammaproteobacteria; Enterobacterales; Enterobacteriaceae. RNAcentral also lists the same sequence under 3 other names.